Molecule: RNA transcript, 1234 nt
Organism: Ailuropoda melanoleuca (giant panda)
Lineage: Eukaryota; Metazoa; Chordata; Mammalia; Carnivora; Ursidae
Gene: NBDY
Gene name: negative regulator of P-body association
Exons: 3
Source: RefSeq, a predicted model, not a curated record
AUACGGUAAACGCGAAACCGGGAGGAAGCUCUGUGCCUGCAAGGGACCCGCCGCCAUCUCAGGUCUCGGCCUCGCAGGGCCCACCAGAGAGAACUGACGCCCAGUCCUAUAAUCCUUAUGGGGGACCAACCUUGUGCCUCAGGGAGAUCCACGCUCCCACCUGGAAAUACGCGGGAAAUCAGGCCUCCAAAAAAGCGCUGCCUCCUAGCUCCACGGUGGGAUUAUCCAGAAGGAACUCCCAACGGAGGUAGUAACCCUCUCCCCUCCGCACCUUCUCCUGCAUCACCCGGCCUGAAAUCGCACCCUCCUCCUCCAGAGAAGUAGUAGAAUAUACUUCUCUCACCCCAAACCAGUCUCUGAGGGAUUGCAGAAUGACUCUAUAUCCUUGGUGCAUUCAUAAAAUGGUUCACCUAGUGAAGAUAAUGAAGAUGAUUGACAAUGCUGCCCUGCUUUUUCUGAUGUCCUGCACCAGCUUGUCUUACUCUGUCAGCUAGGAUCUUCAGUUCAAUGAGAAACAAUAACAGUGAUGGAGGAUUUUCUUCUCUUACUUUUGAAUUUACAAGGAAAUUCUGCAAAUGUUUCACCAUUUUUAGAUUUGCUUCUUCAGGAAGCAAAGUCUGUUCAUUUCUAUUCUUAGUAUGCUGAGACUUUUUAAUUAUGAAGGGAUAUGGAGUUUUUCUCCAUUAAUUUGAGAGUGUGACCAUGUGAUAAGUUACAGCAAUCAAUUUUCUAAUAUAUUUUCUGAUUUUGGUUUCAUCACCCUCACCAUUGACUAUUUUGUUUUUAAAAUUUUUGCUUUAAUCUGUAUUAUUCUGUUUACUUGCUUUAUGUUUGCUCUUUUUCUAAUUUAUCUUCUGGACUUUUAGCCCAACAAUUAUCAAGCUCCGUUUCUAAAAUAAGAAUUUAUGACUAUAAAUCUUCCAAUACAUAUGAUGCUGAAGGAAUUUCACAGAUUUUUAUAUGUAGCAUUUUAUGAUAAUUCAAUUAUAAUUUCUCUUAUGAUUUCUCUUUUGACUCAUGAGUUUGUUUAAUUUACAAACACAUGGGGCUCUUUUGUAAAAAUCAGACUGUGAUAUCAUUAGUCCCAUUACAGUUAAACUUCAUCUUAUUUUCUGCUUUAAAAUGUUUUUUUUAUCUUUCUGAUAAGAAAAAACAAAAUUAUAUAGGAGCUUCUCAUUCCAAAGGAUUUUGGCCAUAUAAAACAUUUCUUUCAUUAACUAUAUAUAUAUAUACA